Long non-coding RNA from Vespa mandarinia (Asian giant hornet), 2304 nucleotides. The record is from RefSeq and is a predicted model, not a curated record. NCBI's taxonomy places the organism in Eukaryota, Metazoa, Arthropoda, Insecta, Hymenoptera, Vespidae.
UACACUUGAAAUUGUAAAUUUAUAAUCAAUCUGGAUUUAUAAGAAUUGAUCUUUUUUCUCAUCUAUAAAAAGAUAAUGCGUGCAGACGGAAGAUCUCUUAAUUUUUUAUUCAUUGUAUUUAGUAUCGAUCAGGAUUUAGUUAGAUAUUAAUUUAAGACUUUUUGCAAGUCAACAACGAAUUUUGGAUUGAUUUAUUUAAACAUAAUCAUGUAAGUUUAAAUAAUAUCAAUGCAUCGUAUCAAUAUAUUAUCGUGCUAGAAACGAAUGUUGUGCGAAAUUAAUUUAAAGUUAUGGAACGCGAUAACACAAUCGUUAUGUGAUUUAAUGCGCGACAGUUUUUCCCCUUAAAAAUUUGGAUAUCUUCGAUAAAACUAUCUUGUAAAUCGAAAGAAAGUACAAGAAACUUGUAUUAUUAACGUGUAACGUAACAAGAAAUUUAAUUGAAUGAAAAAUGAUGUAUAUAUUAAAAUACAUUUACACAUUAUUCAUCAUAAAUUGUUGCUACGAUCGGGAUAGUCUUUUUUUACUCUUGACGUAUCCAUGAUGCAUUGUUCGAAUAUUGCCAUUCGUUGAGUCAUUCUUGUACUUUCCGUUUCUGAUGUCAUCAACAAUCUAAAAUGAUUGAAAUGUGGCUCGUGAGGAAUCGUUAUGGGAUAUAUUCGUUUUUGUGUUCCGAGUUUCAUUGAGUAUUGUCUUAAGAAAAAAAAAGAAAAAAAAAAAAAAUUGCAUUGGAAAAAUAAGGACAAAAUAGUUCAUAAAUAUGGGAACGAAAUUUUUUUUUUUGCCUAUUCAUUUCUUCGCAUUGCUACUUAUUGAUAAAGAACUGGUCCUAGCCACGAAAUAGAUUUGGAAGUCAUCGCGGCACCGAGAAAAAGAGAGAGAGAGAGAGAGAGAGAAAUGUGAGAGAGAGAGAGAGAGAGUGUGAUGACUCUUACGGAAGCAAAAGAGAACUUUGCCUUGUUUUUAUCUCAUUUCUCUAUUUAGUGUCAUAAAUAUUUAUAUGUGGACCACCUGAUGUUCUCGCUGGAACCGGUGGUGGAACCGACGAUGUAGGCAAGCUAGGCGGGGCAUGCUGAGGUGGAGGAAUUUGUCUUUGUGGUAAUGGAGGAGGUAUAGAACUAAUACACUUGUUCGAUGAUUCUUGGGAAGGAUCUGUACGUGGCAAUGGCGGCGGUGGUCUAGUUGGCGCAGGAUAAUUAGGAAAUCCAUCUAAUAUUUCUUCGUAAAUUGCAGAUUCCGGAGACGAUCUUUCCACUUGUUCGGAUUCAGCUCUAUCUUUAACUGGCGUCGUUGGAAAUUGAUUAGGUAAUACGCUAAAUACACCUGCGUGGGGAAUUUGUUUUUUCUCUUGGUAUGGACUUUUAGGCGGUUGAGAAGGUCUGCCUGGUGGAGCUGGCCUGGGCGGUGGCGUAACAUCAUUUGUAUUUCCUUUAUUAGGCGAUGGAUGUUCUGAAAUUCCUAAUUGUUCUAAUUUUGGCAAAGAAGUUUUCGAAAUAGACGAGAAAGCACUAGAUUGCGAUGCCGUGGUAUUGCUACAAAUUUCUAUUUCUUUCUCAAUAAGUUGCAUCCAAUUGGGUGACUUUAAUGUUAAAGUUAAUGCUUGGCCGCAGACGUGUGUCAUUCCUUUUUUUGCAGCGGCCAAAGCACAUUGUCCAUCUCUAAAGGUGACCCAAAUUGUUUCUCCAACGAAUCUCACGAGAAUCACUUCGCCAAUAUGAGACAGAUCUUGUACCAAUGCCAUCAUAACAUUACUAUCGAAUGCGCUAUCAGCAUCUUCUGUUUCGUCUACCGUUUUUACUAUUAUCGUUCCAUCCGGUGGACCCAAAUCUUCUAUUACUUCUUUAAAUACAUGUUCCCUUUGUUGUGGUUCAACGCGAUAAACCUCUACGUCGAUAAUAGCAAUAACAGGUCUAUGAUCACUUUGUUUUAAUUCUGCUCUACCAUAAUAAAUAAGCUUCCCUGGAUACCAAUCUGUAGGAGAAUCUAGGAUCACAGUUUUAACAGAAUUAUCCAAAGCUUAUGUAAAAUGUUUUUGUUAGUUGUAUUCUUGUUACACUCACCAAUAUCAGGUAUUUGCUUUCUUCGUUUCCAAAGAACUCUAUCUGUCCAUGCAGGCUGACGGCAUUUUUCACUCGUGUCAUAGUCAUCGGAAAAAAGAUCGUACUUGUAUGUAGGAGGAAAUGUAAUGGAUCCUUCCAAAAAGUUUUUGAACACAUUACCCUGUUCCUGUUGUACCUGUUCGAAAAGUGAAUGCGAGUAAUACCUACAAUUACGAGAAUAAAUCGACCGAAAAAUUGUAAGUUA